AAAAAUGCGAACGAAGAAAGCGCCAAGGUUUUUCUAUAUGAAUCCGUGAAACCUCCGCACGUGUUUUAAUCUCGAAGUCGAAUGAAUCGUCACUGCGAAAAACCGCGGCAGUUAUAUAUCUCUUGAUAUCCUCACGUCCUCGAUAAGGUGUUGAGGAUAAAUGCAGGUGAACGUUGAUGGAAUUGUUCAGUUUUAAACUAAGCACAGUUGAAGAAACGCGAUCGCUAUGCUUAUUAACGGUGUUAGUUUACCGCGAUCGGUUGCUCGGGUUUUCGCGAUUGGUGUUAUAAUCCUACUCGUCGGUUUCGAUCACCCGAAUGUAUAAGAAAGAAACGCGACAUUUCCAUCGGUGCAGAGCCGGAGAGUGAGGUACAACGUUCGAGGGAUUUAGAAAUCGGUGAUCCACGUUUCGGCUUUGCUAGUCUGAAUUCGGGAGCCGACCUAGGCUUAACAUUGACCCAAAAUGAGGAGGAAGAUUUGUUUAUGACACUGAGUCAACGUCUCUCGAGGGCUGCCAAGAACAAGAAUCAGACAAUGCGUAUGAUAAACGCAUUUGCGGCGAAAUGUUGCGGCGAAAAUCGCCACGAUGAAUGUAACGAUGCUGCGAACGUCAUUGCGUGUCCUUGAACUAGAAGACUCGCCUUUGUAUGUUCCUAUAUGUAUACAUAUGGUUUAUCCAUCCAUCGAAACUGGCUGAAUUCCUUAUCCUUGAAAAAAUUAAUAAUCUCAAAUAUGAAGUCAAUUUCUUUCGCGGGGUAUCCAAGUAUAUGAAAAGCGAAUAAUUACGUAUGAACACAGAGAUUUAUUAUUGGCAAAAGUUUGUGUUAUCAAAAAUUUUUAUCAGCGUUUGGGGGUCCGACUUAAUAAUAGUACUUGUACAAUUCAGGUAUAUUAUAUUAAUGUAUAAAAGGUAGGUACACGUUUUGCGUACAUUAUAAUAAUGAUGCGUGCAUAGUCAGGCUCCUGAUGUACCAAUUGUCUAUGAAUUGUUUCUUAAGAAUACGUCUCUAAAUUGUAUAUAAUAAUAUAGGUACUAGUUGUUUAUAGAUACAUCAUAUGGAAAUAAUAUUGGUAAAUUGAAAUUACUCUAUUAAAGUUAUUAGAAUUAUACGGUAUACGGUAUACAAUGAAUUGUAUAACUGUUAUAAUUACGUUAUAAUUAAUUAACCUAGGUAAAAUAAUUUAAUGAGAUCAUCAGUUGAUUAGAAUUAAAUGGGAGGCUGCAGUUGUACCGCAGUUGCACAUUAUGUCGCGCGCGAUGUCUUUUAGAAUAUAUUGAACUUAUUUUAUGGCUACACGCGCCGUUCGCUGCAUCAUAUGCAUAGUAUAAUGUGCGGUAUUCGGACACACUUGUAUGAUAUUUCUUCCUUUAUGAACUGCACCAUUUCUCAAAUCCGGACCGUCUGAAUAACCAGCGGGCUACUUCGCGCUUUACGUUUCUGCCACCGCAUACUUUUGUACGCUACGUCCUCUGUACACGUACAAGGUCAUCGCGAAGGUCGGCGAAGGUCCUUUUCGUGGCCCUGCAUUGCGCCAUCAACAUGCUCGAGGCUAAGCUCGGAUUUCAACGGGAAAAUGACGAUCGAGCCGAUCGGUUCGGGGGACGUUGUGCCGACUUGAAAGGCUGGCACUUUUGGAAUCACCGUUUCUCUUGAUACCUGAAACAAACAUGUUCGUGACCAUCAGGUGCUAUACAGUGCUAUCAUGUGCUAUACUUUGGGUGAAAAACAUGACACGGAAAUAUUUUCGUUGCGGGUGUUGUUAGUGCGGUUCUGGAAUAGUUUGUUAAAGCACCUUCCGCCAGCUCUU
Athalia rosae (coleseed sawfly) is the source of this 1809-nucleotide RNA transcript. RefSeq lists it as uncharacterized. NCBI's taxonomy places the organism in Eukaryota, Metazoa, Arthropoda, Insecta, Hymenoptera, Athaliidae. The record is from RefSeq and is a predicted model, not a curated record. The transcript has 4 exons.